GAUGAACGCUGGCGGCGUGCCUAAUACAUGCAAGUCGAGCGAACAGAUGAGGAGCUUGCUCCUCUGACGUUAGCGUCGGACGGGUGAGUAACACGUGGAUAACCUACCUAUAAGACUGGGAUAACUUCUGGAAACCGGAGCUAAUACCGGAUAAUAUAUUGAACCGCAUGGUUCAAUAGUGAAAGACGGUUUUGCUGUCACUUAUAGAUGGAUCCGCGCCGCAUUAGCUAGUUGGUAAGGUAACGGCUUACCAAGGCAACGAUGCGUAGCCGACCUGAGAGGGUGAUCGGCGACACUGGAACUGAGACACGGUCCAGACUCCUACGGGAGGCAGAAGUAGGGAAUCGUCAGCAAGGGGCGAAAGCCUGACGGAGAAACGCCGCGUGAGUGAUGAAGGUCUUCGGAUCGUAAAACUCUGUUAUUAGGGAAGAACAAAUGGGUAAGUAACUAUGCACGUCUUGACGGUACCUAAUCAGAAAGCCACGGCUAACUACGUG
This 497-nucleotide ribosomal RNA is filed under the name uncultured bacterium. Its description in RNAcentral is "partial 16S ribosomal RNA". It matches the Rfam family "Bacterial small subunit ribosomal RNA", at positions 28 to 507 of the family's 1533-position model. The record is from RNAcentral.